This 443-nucleotide ribosomal RNA is filed under the name uncultured bacterium. Its description in RNAcentral is "partial 16S ribosomal RNA". It matches the Rfam family "Bacterial small subunit ribosomal RNA", at positions 338 to 795 of the family's 1533-position model. The record is from RNAcentral.
CCUACGGGUGGCAGCAGUGGGGAAUAUUGGACAAUGGGCGCAAGCCUGACCCAGCAACGCCGCGUGAAGGAAGAAGGCUCUCGGGUUGUAAACUUCUUUUAUCAGGGACGAAGCAAGUGCCGCUACCUGAUGAAUAAGCCCCGGCUAACUACUUGCCAGCAGCCGCGGUAAUACGUAGGUGGCAAGCGUUAUCCGGAUUUACUUGUUGUAAAGGGCGUGUAGGCGGGAGUGCAAGUCAGAUGUGAAAACUAUGGGCUCAACCCAUAGCCUGCAUUGGAAACUGUAAGUCUUGAGUGCUGUAGAGGUAAUCGGAAUUCCUGGUGUAGCGGUGAAAUGCGUAGAUAUACGGAGGAACACCAGUGGCGAAGGCGGAUCGCUGGACAGCAACUGACGCUGAGGCGCGAAAGCGUGGGGAGCAAACAGGAUUAGAUACCCUUGUAGUC